This 253-nucleotide ribosomal RNA is filed under the name Tsuneonella mangrovi. RNAcentral describes it as "partial 16S ribosomal RNA". It matches the Rfam family "Bacterial small subunit ribosomal RNA", at positions 524 to 776 of the family's 1533-position model. The record is from RNAcentral. RNAcentral also lists the same sequence under 1 other name. Lineage: Bacteria; Pseudomonadati; Pseudomonadota; Alphaproteobacteria; Sphingomonadales; Erythrobacteraceae.
UACGGAGGGAGCUAGCGUUGUUCGGAAUUACUGGGCGUAAAGCGCACGUAGGCGGCUUUUCAAGUCAGGGGUGAAAUCCCGGGGCUCAACCCCGGAACUGCCCUUGAAACUGGAUGGCUAGAAUCCUGGAGAGGCGAGUGGAAUUCCGAGUGUAGAGGUGAAAUUCGUAGAUAUUCGGAAGAACACCAGUGGCGAAGGCGACUCGCUGGACAGGUAUUGACGCUGAGGUGCGAAAGCGUGGGGAGCAAACAGG